UCAUCGUUAUUUUCAUGUUAUUAGUUGAAUAAAUCGAAAAGUAAACGCAUAAACACAAAAUACUUUUCAAUUCAAAGCUCCAUUUCAAUUUUUUUCAAUAUUCAUCACAUGUUUCUUACAAAAAAUAAAAAAUAAGAUAAAAUAAAAUAUUCGUUCACAUGUUGAUUUCUCAUACAUGUAGCAUGUAAGAAAACAAAGAAACAAUGGAAGCCCCAACCAAUGAUCCAAGAACAGGCAAGGUUGAGGCAGCCACGCUGGAAUCUGGUCCUGAUGCUGGGGCGGAAGCAGGAGAGGAGCUAGGACUAGAACCACCGGCGGAAGGGGAAGGAGCAGGUGCACCGGCAGCCAUGACGGCGCUCAUUGAGGCAGCAGCAACAAUGAUGGCGGUGGAGACCUUCUUCAUGUCCAUGGCGUAUAAAUGGAUUAUUAAACGCACCGGAAAUGAACGAGACCUGCGUUUAAUUGCUGGAGAAUGGGGAUCCGCCGGUGAUUGUUAUUAUUUGCUUUGUUAUUGCAGGUCUGAAGAACAAUGAUGUUGGGGAGGAUCUUUUAUAGGUGAAAAUUCAUAGCUAUUUUUAGUGAUGAAAUUUAAAAAUCAAAUUACGUGUUUGGUUUUCGCAUGGUUUGCGGGAUAGACAUGCAAAUUUUUUAAUAUUCUUAACUAUUUUAAGAUAAUGCGAUUUUAAAAUUUAAGUUUGAAUGAUAAUUAAUUUUUAUUUAAAUUUAAUUAAAUUAUUUGAAUAUAUUUUAUUUUUAAAAUAAAAAAUUUAAUUUGGACCGAUAUGAUUCUUUUACGAAAUUUUAAUGGUAAAGUAAAGCAAGACGAUUCUAAUCAUUUAUAUGUAAAUAUUAUAUCAUAAAAUGUAUUAAAAAAUAUUAUAUAUUAUGAUAAAUGGUUGGAUGGUAAAUUUUAUUGAGAUGAAUAUAGGACUAUAAAUGUAAAAUUAUUAGUUAACUUUCCAUAUUUGGGGAAGAUUGAAUUUCGGUUCUUUUAUUAAAAAAAUAAAUAAAUUAAUUUUUAUAUAUUUUGAAAUAUACAAAUUAGCUCAUUCGUUAAAUUUUAUCUAUUAAAUGAUGACGUGAAUGGUUAAAUAUAUGUUGAAAAUUAUCUUUUACGGGUAUAUAAAAAGAGUCACCUAAUUAUGUCUUUGUUCUAUUUUAGUUACCCAACCAAGAAUUCGUUUGGAUUUAAGUUUACCUUCAGUGUGGCACGAUUUUGGCACUUUAUUGCCCAAUCGUGUUGCAAUCAAUCACUAGGAUGCAUAAAUGGGAUUCAAUUUCAUUGCACUGAGCUUUACUUUUUUAGUUUUGGCGGAUUACAACUCCACUAACUUUUUCUUUCCUCUUGUAUCUAGACCUAAUCAUUGGCCAAGCCACCCGGCCCGAAGACUCACUCAAAAAGUAAAAGUAUUUGUGCAAAAAUAUAGGCUCGAAAAAUAGGUUUUUGCAAAAAAAAACAAGGCCUACUUUCUAAACAAGUUGCAUUGGGCAAGCUUUUUUUGCCCUAGCCUCGGCCCAAUCCAACUUUGUAAAAAAAAACCUACUGCUUUUUGCUGCUAUUGCACUAUUUUUGCAGUUGUUUUGUCACUGUUUUGGUAUCGUUUCGCUAUUAUAUUACUAUUAUUUUGUUCUUAUUAAUUGGAUAUUGUAUAACUCUUAUUUUAUUGUUAAUUUUGCUACUAUUUUAGAGAAUUUGCUUGCUAAGUUGUACCUAUCUUAGUAUUAUUAUAAAUUAUUUUUUAAUUUAUUUUCAAUUAGCUGAGAAACAUUAAUUUUAAUACAGACAGGGCGGGUCAGGCUCAAGUUUUAACAUUUUUAUUCAAGCCAAAUUUGGACAAAAUUUUAAACUUAUUUUUUAAGUUGGGCCAAAAAACGGAUCAAAAAUUCUAUUGAAGCCUGAACCAUGAUUAACUCUAUUUGUAUCCGUGCACCAUUUGUUUUAUAUCCAUACUCCUUAUGCCAUGUUCAUUCUUCUUUUUUUUUUUUGUUUAUUUCUCUUUUAAUAAAUUAAAUAAUUUUUUUAUUUUUUAAUAAAUUAAUGUAUAUUUAUCAUUUAAUAUAAUAAAUUAUUUUAAAUGAUUAUAAAUUAAUUAAUUAAAAUAUUUAUAAAAAUAUUAUGAUACAUGUUAUUAUUUUAUUAAAUAAAAUUACAACUUCACAUAUUUUAAUAAUUUCAUAAAAAUAAAAUAAUUUACAACUUCUAUUAUAUAUUAUUUCUAAUAAUGAUAAAGAAAAUUAUUUCCAACUUAAUAUCCUCACAUCACCGUUACAGCUAUGUUUGAAUUCAAGCACAUACCCAAUCACUAUUUUUAACCUCAUCGGAGCGAAUUCAGGAUGGGUUGGCAGGGCAUCGGCCUCCCCUAAAAUAAAAUUUUUUUCAUUUAGCUCUUUUUAUAAUUUUUAAAAUUUUAAAUUAACAAUAAUAAAAUUAUACUUUGUCCCUUCAAAAUGAUAAAAAAUUUAUUUAAUCUUUUAAUAUUUUCAUGUUUAAAAUUUAAAAAGUUAAUUCAACUACUUUAAAAAGAUUUUCCAACUUCAACCCACAUUUAUCUAAUUACAUAGUAGUUAUUAGUUCAAUAAUUCAUUGUUAUUUUCAAGUUAUUCAUUGUUUUGAAUAAAUCUAAAAGUAAAAGUAUAAACACAACAUACUUUCCAAAGCUCCAUUUCAAUUUUUUAAUAUUCAUCACAUGUUUCUUACAAAAUAAAAAAUAAAAUAAAAUAUUCGUUCACAUGUUAAUUUUUCAUACAUGUAGCUUACUGCAGCAUGCAAGAAAACAAAGAAACAAUGGAAGCCCCAACCAAUGAUCCAAGAACAGGCAAGGUUGCGGCAGCCACGCUGGAAUCUGGUCCUGAUGCUGGGGCGGAAGCAGGAGAGGAGCUAGGACUAGAACCACCGGCGGAAGGGGAAGGAGCAGGUGCACCGGCAGCCAUGACGGCGCUCAUUGAGGCAGCAGCAACAAUGAUGGCGGUGGAGACCUUCUUCAUGUCCAUGGCGUAUAAAGGGAUUAUUAAACGCACCGGAAAUGAAUGAGACCUGCGUUUAAUUGCUGGCGAAUGGGGAUCCGCCGGUGAUUGUUAUUAUUUGCUUUGUUAUUGAUGGUCU
Molecule: long non-coding RNA, 3103 nt
Filed under: Gossypium barbadense (sea-island cotton)
Lineage: Eukaryota; Viridiplantae; Streptophyta; Magnoliopsida; Malvales; Malvaceae
Description: long non-coding RNA (GBAR_LNC011016)
Source: RNAcentral